CCUACGGGGGGCAGCAGUGAGGAAUAUUGGUCAAUGGAUGAGAGUCUGAACCAGCCAAGUAGCGUGAAGGAUGACUGCCCUAUGGGUUGUAAACUUCUUUUAUAUGGGAAUAAAACGUUCCACGUGUGGGAUUUUGUAUGUACCAUAUGAAUAAGGAUCGGCUAACUCCGUGCCAGCAGCCGCGGUAAUACGGAGGAUCCGAGCGUUAUCCGGAUUUAUUGGGUUUAAAGGGAGCGUAGGGGGAUUGUUAAGUCAGUUGUGAAAGUUUGCGGCUCAACCGUAAAAUUGCAGUUGAAACUGGCAGUCUUGAGUACAGUAGAGGUGAGCGGAAUUCGUGGUGUAGCGGUGAAAUGCUUAGAUAUCACGAAGAACUCCGAUUGCGAAGGCAGUUCACUGGACUGCAACUGACACUGAGGCUCGAAAGUGUGGGUAUCAAACAGGAUUAGAUACCCGAGUAGUC
RNAcentral lists this ribosomal RNA (460 nucleotides) under uncultured bacterium. RNAcentral describes it as "partial 16S ribosomal RNA". It matches the Rfam family "Bacterial small subunit ribosomal RNA", at positions 338 to 795 of the family's 1533-position model. The record is from RNAcentral.